AGCUCAGCUGGAUAGAGCAUACGCCUUCUAAGCGUACGGUCAGAGGUUCGAAUCCUCUAAGGC
This 63-nucleotide transfer RNA is filed under the name Neobacillus vireti. Its description in RNAcentral is "tRNA-Arg". It matches the Rfam family "tRNA", at positions 9 to 63 of the family's 71-position model. From Rfam's summary of the family: Transfer RNA (tRNA) molecules are approximately 80 nucleotides in length. Their secondary structure includes four short double-helical elements and three loops (D, anti-codon, and T loops). RNAcentral also lists the same sequence under 1 other name. Lineage: Bacteria; Bacillati; Bacillota; Bacilli; Caryophanales; Bacillaceae. The record is from RNAcentral.